AGUAAUAAAGUGAGAAGGAUUACUAGCACUAACAAGCGGACUCGCAACUAAGCCCUUUGGCAGCUAUCUCCCAUUCCCUCUUUCUUUCCUUCUCGCCCACCCAGUGCUGCUAUAAAGUAGGAAAGUAAUAAUAAAACAGUAAAGUAAGCCUGACAAUCACACAUGGGAGUACAAAAGAGUAGUGGUCAGUUUGCAACUCAAACUACAGACUUCAAGCGGGGAGUGUCGGUUUGGACCCCAGGAUCUGUGUUUAAAGAAUCCAAUUCAUUUAGUUAAGUCAAGUACCAACUCGGGCCCAAGAGAAUCAAACCAAGGAGAUCAAGUUUGAAACAAGAAGCAUAGGCAUUGACGCUACUAUUAGUCAUACUGAAGCUCGAAAGGAAGACUUAAAGGUAGGAGUGGCGGAGUGAGAUAAGUAAGUAAAAGACUAUACCCUAGGGAGGGCAGACUAACAACUAGGCAUUCAGACCUGAGUAGUAGGUCAACAGUGGUAGGUCAACAACCAAACAUAGGAUUUUCUGGCAGAAGUAGCAAGCUUGGUGGUUUUCGAGGUAGGGCUUUGUUCUUCUACUACGGAUUCCCAUUCUUCAAUGCAUGUGCUUAAUUCUCUGACUUUCGAGUGAGAUUCCCUAGGCAGUAGGUUAGGUUGAUCCUAAGCUAUAAGAUAAAGUACUAGAGAUGUGGGGCAGUGUUACAGCCGGAUAGUUCUAAUUGGAAUUCCCUUUUUCUUGUUUCAGUAUUGGGUGGCCUAGGUUCGAUCCCGAGUUAUUUGUUGGGGGAGUCAGAUACAUUAGUUGCAGGCUAACGAUUGAACAUGAGCGUGUAGGGAAACCCCGUCUAAUACUUAAGCUCGGUUUGUGAUCAGUGAAUUAUGAGAAGUAAUAGUAUAAGAAAGAGUAAGGCAAGCAAGGAUCAGAGACAGAGAUAUCGUAUUUGAAGUAAGCCAGAGCAGACUCAUGGGCAAUGGAGCAAGGUUCGGGGUCUAGGUAGGCGAAAUUAGGACUCGCCAAGCAACUAAGUAAGACGGCCAAGUCACUCUCGGAACAAGCAACGAGGGGAACAAGCUUAUCGUGUUCAGGCAGAGCGUGUUAGGAAAGAGUAGAAAGCGUUAGUUAGUUGUGCGUUAGCUGACUUGAGCGGGUCGGGUGCUACUUAAUAUCUCGGAGUUCUUGAGUGAGUUGCAUUUCCUUAGUUGUAGCAGUGUCCUGUUACCAAGUUAUAGAAGAUGUUAACUUCCGCUUUAUAUUCCAAUUCUCCAUCUAGCCCGAGUGGAGUUCGUUAGUUUUGAAGUAAUAAGUUAGUUAACCAAUUCUAUAUAUAUAUGGAAGAUAUAUGAAAUGAACCAAUAUGGAAGAUAUAUGAAAUGAAACAAUCCCUUGUGCUAACGCGUUAUUAUCGUUUCAGGGGUAGAGUGACUUCACACAGACCAGGCCCUACUUUGUUGUUAAUCUGCUCGAAGUAAAGUAGAUCGUUUCGUAGAAAGGUAACCCUAGAAAUCAAGUAGGCAAUGCAGUUUAGAGCGGAACCCAUGUGCCUUAGAUCAAUCUUUAGUUUAGAGCGGAACCAGCCUUAGUUAGAGAGAGAGUUUGAUAGUGUUGUAGAGUUUCGCGCUGUUAGGUUAGAGGGAAAGUCAGCAAUGCUGCUAGUAAAUAAUCAAUAGAUUCCAAGUAAACAAGGAAACAAGCCGAUCCUUAUUUAUAGUAGAAAGUACAACGCGCUACCCUUCCUUGCCAGUAAUAUAUUCUAACCUUUCAUUUAUGCUUUAGCCUAAACUGGAAUUGCAACUUACUUGCGCACAGCAGAUUCUCUCUCUCCCUCAUUGAUACUUGGAUACUUUGCUUCUCAAUGCCCGGGCAUCUUUCUCCUUAUCCUGAUGGAACAGCAGUCUAGUAUGGGGAAAGAAAAGUGCAACUUCGAUUAUUGCUCCUACUAUCAACUACUACUAGCAACUCUCUAAUCUAGCCCCUAGUCUUUUUCCACCUAACCACUUUUUCCACCUAAAGCACUUAGGGUAGGCAAUGAGACCAGAAAGGACAACCUAUAUCAAUGUAAGCCAGGCCGUUUUCUUCUUUUGCGGGGACAGGCAACUAUACUAAUGCCAUCUGAUUUCUUAUUCCCCCGUGUACGAACAAUCACAGCAAAGAAGCUUUAUCGGAUGAUACCCCAAUGUGCGCAAUACGACCCCAGGAUACAAAGAGAGAUCAGCCAUCACAUAGCCAAUUUAGAGAUUGGUCCGACCCGCUAACAAAGCCUUUAGACCUUUAGUACUAUCUCUUUCUCUUUCGAAGUUACGGAUGACAUUUCUUUUGUAGUUAUUACCCUAAGAUCUCCCACUUAUGCUCCGUUCUCCUCGGUAUAAGCGGUUCUUGUUUCAUAAGCUAAUAUGGCAACCUGGUAGUAUAGUGAGCUCUAUCUCUGGAUUAAGCUUCCGUCAUUGAUAGAGAUCAAUCACAUAGAACCUUUAGAGCGUACUCCUUCCUUUAUAACAGAAUGGAUUAAGAUCAAAAAAGAGGAGAGCAGAAAUCUUGUCAUCUAGUAGCGAAGAAUACGUUUUUUUGACACAAAGGAGAAUAGAAUGAAAACUCCCUGUCUUCACCUCUCGUCGAGUGGUGUGCUUGUUUUAGGGGUGAAUAUGCUUGCUCGCGGUAAUUAGGUUCGACUCUUUAAUGUUCUAUUUCGGUAUGCCGCUCCAAAUGGAUUUCACUCUUUCUUUAGUUCAUAGGAAGUGCCCUUCGGGUGAGCAUUCUUAUAAGUGUAAUGAUCCUUACUUCUCCGGGGAAAUAAAGGUUUCAAAUGGCCGGAUGACAUGCGAGCCGUGAAGUGCAGCUGAUCAAUCGCUUGUGAAAGAUGGAGCUAUUCUUUGCCUUGCAAGAAUGAUUAAUAGAGUCGUUAAGGGGCAGAGAAUCGGUCUUAGUUGACCGGUCAGACAAUACACUGAUAUUAGUUUACGAAAGGCUUUAAGGGCAGUGGAUUCCUCUUAUAUUUAGAUGAGAGAUCCAUUCUAACUAUUAUCUUAUUGACUGAACAAGUGAUUGCUGUAGGUACGGUAGAGACCUUGGGACUGACUCAAAAAAAGAUGGAUAGCAUUUAUGCCAAUGCUUAGCGAUCAGGAAAGAAGAGCGGGGCAAAUUAUUGAUUCUAUCUACGCCUACUCCAUGAAAGCACCAACCACUAUCUGGUCUCGAAAGCGAGUGAAUCAGUCCCAUCCUAAGUCAUUGAAGAUGCCCUGACUCGGGUCAAGAAUGGAAACUUACUGGUAUACUGACAGCCUAUCUUCUAUCUCUUUUCUGGGCGUGGGAUAAGAGGAAAGAGCUGGAGUUAACCUCAACCAAACACCACUAAGAAUUGGAGAUGAUUUGAUUUCCCACACUAACAUACAAAAAAGAAAUUCUAUAAAAUGGGUUCUGUAGCCCAGUCCUAGGUGACAGCACUCGAAGUCAAAAGAACUUCCUGUCGCACAGAGAUGACUUAUUGAAAAACAGCACCGCCUGUGAAGUAAAGAAACGGAACUUAAUAUAAGGCCUAUUCCCUCCCUUUGAAGUCAAGAGAAAGGCUAACUGCCCCACCUUUGAAGUAAAGAAACGAACCUAGCAGCCCUACCUUUGAAGUAAAUAGUAAACGCCAGAGCCCCUGCCCCUGUACGACUAAUAUACGAAUAGACGAAUUGAUCCUCGUUGUGUUCCUUCUGAACUUCCUAAUUCUCAGGCAUCUUCGGGUUUAGGGUAUUGUCUUGUUCAACUUCAAUCUGGGUUCGGUGAUUGGUCUUGUUUGGGGAAGACUAUCUUACUGGCUUUGAGGCUCGGGUAGGCUUUUUUGACUGACUUGGCGGGUAGGCAUUUACUGACUUGCUUGUGCCGGGUGGUGACCACAACUACUCAUUCUAUUACUGGGGUCGGGUAGUCAAAAGAGAGUCCCUUCCUCGGGUAGUCAAAAGAGAGUACCAUCUUUUAGGGUAGGGCUAGGGUAUUGUAAUCAAAUCAAUGAGAAAAACAAUCAAAUGAAUAACCUCUUUCGAGCUUAGCGCCUUUAAGUCUGGAACUAAACCUUGCUCACCCUCUCGAACAGGGCAUGAAUAAGUUGACUUUAGAACUAGAACUGGUCUCUUACUAAAAGUCAGACGAUAAGUAACACACGGUAUAGAGGCUUGGUAAAGAAAGAGAAACUGAAGUCACUCACUACUGCUGGCUUUUGUCACUAGCUACGUUGCUUGCCCCUGUUCUUGUUCUAGUGUCAUCCCCCCUGAAAGUAGUCUAGUAGUUUCGUAGUCCUGUUUCAUAUGUACUUGUUGGGUCGGCUAGGGAAGCAGUUUAGGAGGUCUGCAAGGUCAGCUGUGGAAUCAGUAGUUGUUAGAGAGAAAAGAUGCUAUGUGUAAGUAUUAGUUGACUCGGUAUCAGGUAAGAGAGAUAUUCCAUUCCUUGUAAGGUAAGAGAGAUAUUCCAUUCCUGUAGUUGGCGAGUUUAGAGCCGAGUUCAGGUAAGAAGAUAGUAGUCCUGUUGCAUCUGUAUUAUUUGACAGAGGAGUUGUUAGUUUACUUACCGGUAGUGAACUAAAGAAUAGAGUUGACUUCAGAAUCGAAUGGGAUGAAUCGAUUUGGAAGAAAUGUGGGAUGAAGAAAUUGGAUCAAAAUGAAAAUAAAGCAGAAAAGUGGAAGUUGCUGCCGCUAUUAAUUAGGACUCCGGAAUAACUGGGUAUAACGUAUUUUAUUUGCCAAAACAGCUGCCGCGCAACAUUAGUAGUUGUUUGUUGAAUGCAAGUGAGCCAUAUAAUCCUGUAUGUCUGCUUGGCCCCUACGAAAAGAUGUAAUUUACAAGUUCAUCAAAACAAAGAAAAGUGGAGUCUAUAGGUUCCUUGUGUGCGAGUCAGCCUAUAACUCUCAAUCUGGGGGGGUAAAGUACUGGCUUUGAAGCGGGAAUAGAAGCAGUGCUAAAGAAGCAAAUAGUUCUGGGAAAUCCAAUUCACUGAGUUGCUGCUAGUGUGAGUAGAAUCCGUCUUUUCACCCCUUGUUUCAUAUGUAUUUGUUAAAGAUGUUACUGGCUCCACUAAAGAGACUGCUCGAGGUCAAGCAGAAAGCUCAGGUUAAGGCUUUGUUGCGAGGUAUCUGCUACAGGCAAGCUUAUACUAAACUAGUCCUUUGCCCUUAAGUAAUUGGGCUUUAUCUGUCUACUUGCUAUGUGCUCGGGACGGGAGCAAUAACUGUAUUUGUAGUCCUAUUCGAGUGCCCUGCCUAGCCUUAGGGGUCUCGUAAGAAGCCAUAGGUACCGGAGCCAGGCCAGAGAAGGAUAUUAAUCAUCAACAGGAACCAGAGGCAGAGGAGCCGAACCGAAUUAAGUUAGUUAAUAGGAGCCGAGCCAGCUGCUUGUUGAAAGAAGUAUGAGUUUACAGAGUUGGAUAAGCCGGGAGUGUUAGUUGAAGUGCUCUAGUUCGAGAAGGAAGAAUAAAGCCAGUAGUCAAUUAAUCCAGUAGUAUAACCGAUGUGUUUAGUUAAAGGGGUAGGCUGUUAUUAAAUAGAAGUAAAGUCUAGGUCGAGCUAGUGUCAUUUUUAGUCGAGGGAUAGGAUUGCAACCAUCUGGUCGGAGAGCAAGGGAACCGCUUUUGAGUAGUGGGUAGAAAACGUGCAAUUCAGUACUGCCCUAUUGCUAAAGAAGAGGAACAAGAAAAGUAUUAGUUAACAGAGGAGAAGCUUUGAAGCUGGGUUGAUUCUUUAAGUAGUAGGGAUUGAUUCUGUCGUUUAAUACCUUCUCCUGUUCCUGGUCGAGUGUGAGUUGAAGACAGGUAGUACUUGUUACUUCUAGUAGUAGUAGUCCUGUAGAAUCCGCAUUUGUAGUAUUAGUUUCCAUCAGUAUUCUUUAUUUAUUGCUUCAUUCUUGUUGGUCGAAAGAAUAGGGUAAACGGAGCAUUCUUUCGCAUCUUAUUGAGUUUUUUGGCAAAUAUUGACAUGACGCACCCCCUUUGGGACCUAGAAAUGCAUUAGAAACCCUUUAUUGAUGGUUUGGGAACUCUUCUAGGGUGGUGGACUGGACUUCAGUUACUCAGGUAGGGGAGGAUUGUUUACUGACUUGUUUUAUUCCUGAAAUUGACUAGCGGCCCUGCCCUCUUACCCCAAGGCAUAGGGUGGUGAAGCGAAUAGUGAAAUCAAAGAAAUGAGAAAAUCUUCAAAAAGUAAAAAACGACUUCUCUGUCUCAUGUACCUACACAGUACACACUCAGUAGGGGAAAACAGCGGAGAAUUGUCUCUCUCUUUAUUAAAGAAACUAGAAUGUCAUAGAAUAGAUGUGGUUGCGCCUAUUAUGUGUGCCUAUUAUGGGUGACCUGUAGAAUAGAUGUGGUUGCGCCUAUUAUGGGUUAGUUUUGCCUAUCAUGUGUUUUGUUCAGGCGAAAGAGAAGUUUCAUUAUAAGAAUAGGGGCAUCCACUAUAGGAUUUCUCCUCUUUUUCUCGUUUGAUAGCAAAUAUUACAUUAGCUACCCCCUUAGGGGCCAAAAAACACCUUUAUCACUAAAAGAUUUCUUGUCUCAGAAAGCACUUUAGGAUGGGUUUGAUGCGAGGGGAGUCAUUCUAUUACAUUCCUAUUACAAGGGUAAGGGUCGGAUAGCAGUGGAAUAGCGGCUCUGCCGCGACACAUUAUACGUGUCUUGGCGGCUCGGGUCGGGUAUGCUGGUUUAAUGAAGUUACUAGGCUAGGUCAGUUAGUAGUUAGGAAGCCUACCUAAAUUCUGUAAUUCCAACUUCUGAGCUUGCUGGCUCCUUAUUCACUUCAUUCUCCCUUUCCACUAUCCCUCUCUGGCUCUGGCCCCUACUAUAUGGAAGGGCUUUCCCCACUAAAUGCAUUCUGAUCUUAUUAAUGAGAAAGUUGACUCGCCCCCCUUUACCCUAGCAUUAGGAGCUUACUUAUUCUUUACCCUAGCAUUAGGAGCUUACUUAUUGCUGAAAGAUUCUAAGAAGAAUGACUCUUAUGGGGCACCCGCUCCAACAAUCAGUGUUAGCGCCACUAAAGCACCCGACCCGGCCUAUCUUUCUGAUCCUGGCUCAGAUCCAGCUACUGUUACUGUUCCUGUACUUGUCUAGAGAUGUUUUUAAUGUGAUUGGCUGCUGUACUUCUAAAAACAUAUAAAGAUGAGAAAUCAUUAAUUUGUGAGUAUAUGUUUCAUGCUUUUACUACGUUAAAGGACGAGUAGUUGGUUGGUUGCUUGCCCUGUGGCAUCUGAUCAAACAAGUAUAUACUAUUAGAGAAAGGGCAUCUAAUUCUUUUAGGGCCAAGGCGAACUGGAGCAGCUUUAUCCAAUUUAGUACUUAGUGGGACCCGACCCGGAUUUGGAGUCUUUAUGAGCCGUGGCACACUCUUAUUAUAGGGAAAGGAGCACUAGGUUCGGUUGGUUGUCGAGAGGGAGGAUCAGAAUAGAGUCACAGAUACUAGGUUGGCGCCGAGAUAAGUCAAUUCUGUAUUCUGUGUUUCCUGUUUGCGUUUCGAGUCUAAGAACAGAGGGAACUUUUCAUCAGCCUUCUUGUCCGUGGAACAGUUGUUUGCUAUAGUGUGAGAAUUUGUAUAUGUCGCCCUGUAGUGCUCUUUGGUUGCCUUACUUAGUCAUAUGAGUGGAAUUAUUACUUUCGAACUGGAACUGGCACCACUACAAGGUACAGCCCCGAACCAACACUGUAAUCUGUAACUAUAGUGAACACUAGAUUGAAGUUGCACUAGACUAGAUGAUUCUUCUUGCCCCAACUCAACCUACUACUCUAGACUAGAUGAUUGCCCCAAACAAAAGUGCUUAUCCAGCCGCAUUCUCUUGAAACUUUUUCUUAUACUUCUUUCAUCACCUGCUUCUAAUGCUGAUGAAACUCAAACUCACUACGUAGCAGAGCGGUUAGGCUUUCUACUAGGCACCCAACAAGCAUAUAAAGUAAUUAAUAUAAGAAUAGGGAUAGUCAAAGUAUUAGAAUAGUAAUAGUAUUGCUUGUGUCUGUCCUUUUCCAUCUGUAAGCGCUAAGAGAACUUUCACUGUAAACUCCCUUCCUUCCUGUUUAAGAGAGAGACCCUAACUGUUCCCCUUCCGGUUCUUGCUUUGUAUACGUUUGCUUGGUCAGGCUAAAGAGGAGCUCCAGCGGGACUAUCCGUGUAAGAAGACCUUUUUCUCGUUGUUUAAGCUAGGGUAAACUAAUCCAAAUGUGGUUGAAUUGGGCUUUACCUAUUGGUGUACCCGAAAAGCUCGUGUAAUGCCUUUGUAGCCUAGAUCACUUUCGAACUCCCUUAUGCUAAGAGGAAAGAAAACAUCAAUAGAAAUGGAACUGACUUAUCAUCUGCAUCUAAUCUAGGAAUGAAAAUGAGCACACACCACACUGAGUCUUGAUACGAGUCAAGGAAACCAGUAAAACUAGUAAUUCCACUUGUAGCUGACUUGAGUCUGAUCGGUGUUAGUUUGAGUCUUUCUGUUCACUAGUCCAUUCUGAGUUGUACCAGCUCCGUUCCUUGACUCCCCGGUUUCAUUCUAUAGCUCCAUUCCAAGCCUACCCGGGUGAAGUCUUUGCCCUAGUGGUUUGAUUCUGAGUUUAGUUAGCACAGGUUUGAGUCUAUCACUGCCCGGCAUCAGACUUGGAUUCACUAGCUGAACUCAACAAGCAACUACUAAUGACCAAGCCACUACUAACCAAACAACGGCGCAAGACGUUGAGCGGUAGCAAUAGUAAUAGAUAUAACAAAGUUAUUACAAUAGAUGUGUUCUGGGCGGUAGGAGGAAGUGAGCUAAACGUUAGCGAGUUCGGGACUCACUCGUUCCAUUCUUUUACUAAUGAUCGGUAGGCUUACUAGCCACAUACCAAUACCUAGCAACAAUGGUUUUCUUCUUUGACUCCCUAGCUACAUACCUAGCAGGCACCGUAUCAGGCUUGUUAGCGAUGGUUUAAGUCUGUAACACCUAAGCAUCAGCCUGUAACUACCUUGUUAAAGUCUUACCAGACACCGCUUCAGUCUGCCCAGCACUUGUUCUAGACCAGUAGAGAGAUGCAUCAGGCUUGGACUCCUGAGCACCCGAACCGACCUCUGCUAUGUAAACUAAGUCUGAUCUUGAAACCGCAAAGCCCCCCUUUCCCUAGCAUAAGGCUUGCACUCCUUAGGCACAUUCCGAGCAGUACGGUGUGUAGUCUCGCUACCCCUACUUUCAGUCUUAAACUCAAUAGCUUUAUUCCGAUCCUACCCAGGUGAAGCCUUGUCCUCACCAGCCCCAUUCCUUGCCUCACUCGUUCCAUUCCGAGUCUACGCCGUUCCAUUCUUACAUUCCGUAUUCAUAGGCUUAGUUCUACCCCCGCUCCCUUCCUAGCCCAGUAACUCCCUUCGGUCAAUCGGUGGGAAUGUAGCUACUGGCUUUAAGGCUUUCCCUUGCUAGUUUGAUUCUUUGAUUGACUGAUUUCAUUCUGAUAUAUCUAAGCAAAGGAGUGGAAUUCUUUCAUAUACUAUUCCAUCUCUAUAUACUAUUCCAUCUCUAUAUACUAUUUCAUCUCUUAUAACUGAAUGAGGCUCAGUACAAUAGGUAACAUCUCUUUCUUCAAUGCUUGUUCAUUUCGAAUCGGUCAAGGAACAGGAGAGUUUAGCCAAUAAAGAAAGCUUAGAAGACUAGUUACAGUGUGGGCACCAGAUCAACUCAGUGAGGACAGGACGGGCAAUACCACUUUUCCUCCGAUAUAGUAAUGUCAGAGUAGGAGAAACUCUGUAAAGAUAGGAGAUGUUUAGCCAGUACAAGCUGUGACACCCAUCCCAUCCCGACUUGGAGUUUUGUAGCCAGGAAGAGGCACCUAGGAGGGAAAGAAAGAACUAACAGAAGCGGAGAGAUUAACCUGCAGGGACGCGCUCCGAUCUAAGGCCUUGGCUGACAUCCCCGCGAAGCUCCACCUUCAAACAAAAGAGAGCUAUGUAGAUUUAUUGGUCUAUCGUGGUAAACUGUGAGGAACUGAAAGGAUAUUCGUUUUUAGCCAUUUCAGUGUGGGUAGGCUGCCCCAAUCAAGCGUAGCGAUCACUGAACGAUUGAUUCCAAUUAUUCUUUUUGACUAUUCUUAUACUAUGAUGAUUAUACUAUGAACGAUUGAUUCCAAUUAUUAUUAUACAUAUUUGUAUUAUACUAGAUUUGUGUAUUAUACUAGAUUUGGUUCUUGGAUGAUAUAGAUGGUGGUAACAAUGAAGCGGAUUCUGAAUCUUCACCUUCCAACUGUGGUUAUACCUUACGGCGUACCUUACUUCUUUUCGCAUCUAAUCUAUGGCUUAGUCUAGUCCUUACUAUCUGACUUUCCCGACAUUAGUGAGAUUGAGAACUUCUUCCCUAUAGGGUGGACAGUACUCGACAUUCUAGAUAGUAAGCAUAAAGAAAGGUAAGUAAUAGAAAAAGUAGGGUUGCACUGAUCCUUCACAACAACAGGAAAAGGACUUGACUUUUGACCUAUAGCUUUGGCGUCUAGUAGUUGCUUGGUGACUUAACCCAGCGCUUCCAAGGCUUCAAUGAGGUAGUUACAGACUGAUGCUAUUGCUGGUAAGACUUCAACAAGGUAGUCAAAGAACCAAACCCAUGAGUGCCUUAUUCUAAUUUCUGAUGCUAUGUGGCUAAGGUCUAGUAGCUGGUAUGCCUCAUUUAUUAAGUCUUCCCUGCCAUUAGCCUGGACAACCAGACUUCAACUACUAACUACAGGACUAAGACACCUAACAUCAAGACUGAAACAAGUGAGUACCUUACUAUAAUUUCUGAUACCGGCAAGUCCAAUAGGAUAGAAUGCAACCGCCCAGGUUAAAGGCUGAAACCUGUACUAACAAGAACCAAAGCACUAACUAAAGGAACCAAGGCACUAACUCCAAGCCUGAAAGCAAGGGGAGCUAGCUCCGACUUCAACAAAUGCUACUAAUUCCCUGGCUAGGGAUGUACUGGAUAAGAAUCAAACUCGGGAGUUACAGAACGAAAGUAGUUAGUAGAAACCUUCAAGCGAGGGGGCAGCUAGUAGACUUAAGUCAAGAAUUCGACCAAUACCACCGAAUUGAGUGAUAGAAUGCAACUACUAACAACAGGACUACAACCACUUGCCAAACAGAAUGAACCAGGUAAGGCAUAGGAUGCAGCUAGUAACAACCAGACCGAGACAAGAAAUACAGAAUAUCCGAAUACAUAAUUCCACUAACUGGGGGGGGAAAGUCAGAAUGAGAAACCAGUAAGGGAAAGAAUGCAACUCGUCAGUAAAGGAAUGGAAGCAGUAGCUGGGAGAUAGAGUUAGUGCGGGGCGGGGUGAACUCAAAGGUCAGAAUGAAACUAAGAGGUAAGCUAGUAGGCAAGUAGGAGUUAAGGAAGUAACUAGGCCACAAUACCACUGAUUCCACGCUUCUUAGGGUAGUAGAUCAGAAUUCCACUCAGCAAUCUAAGAAUAUAACUAUUGGGUAUAAGCCUUGCCUUCUUAAGCCCCUAGUAGUGCUUGGCUUGCUCCUGCGCAGGAGUCCGGUUCUGCUUAAAGUGGAGAGUCCGUUUCCAGAUCAGAAGCUUGGCUAGGAAAGCCGUAGAUAGAGGAAGCAGAGGUCUAGUUGUCAGCUGCCAGUUUCAUACCGAGUGGAAUCCUAUUAGAAUGCCAUUGAAAGCGGGUUUUCUCUAUUCCUAGCGUUUCACCUAUUACUUUCAAUCUGCAACUAAGUAAGGGAAUGGAUAAGUAAGGGAAUGGAUAUUACCCGGGGCUCCUGCCGCUCUGUGUUCGGUGUUUUUCGAAGGAUUGACCAUCUAACUAAAUAAGUGACCAAGACACUGCACCUGCAAACUGAAUAUAUAAGGGUCGCGGUAGGGAGCUAAAACGAGUUCAUUGACGCCUAACAUCCUUGUGGGUUCCACAUACAUGCUCCUUCUUUACCAAACCUACCCUCGUAUUGGAAUGAAACAACUACCCCCAAAGAUACUUACUCGUAUGAUUGACAACACCCUCCCUUUCUACUUAACUGACUUUCUGUUAGUUGCAGGUGGUUACUAAACUAGGGGUCAACUUACAAUAAGGGCCUCUUUUCCUUGGUCACUACUUGGCCCACCUCUGCAGAUAUAUAAGUAUUCUGUCUAUGCGCCCCGGGAAUUAGCAACUUUAUUGAUUUCCUCCCCACGCCUGAACCUUACUUUAUAUCUGUCGUUUUCUACCUUCCCUUCCUUAGUACCUUACAGUGGGUGCGGCCUAUUAUUAGUUUAGGGCUUUUACUGAUAGCAACCAUGGUUUGAGAUCACCUAGAAAUGAAAUCACAGAAAUAUUCAUAAAAGUUAUAAACAAGUGAGAUAAGCCAAGCAACUGCUACAAACAGCCAAGCUACGGUAAAAAACGAUGCAAAUGUAGAAUAUCUCCUCUGAUCUAGUCCCGCCGAUUCCUCUGAUCUUGGAGACUUCCCCGGAACUUACUUCACCUUUCUACUGUGGAGCUUCUGUUUGGACUGGCGAAUCAAACAAGUAAGUAACAGAGAUAAGCUAGUACUAGUUAUGGGAUAGUAGAGUUGUAGAACAAAUAAAGCCAGAGGGGUCUAUUAGCCGGAAGGGUCUCAUUCGUCAACUCGGGAUUCUACUCUCAAUCCGGUGUUCCACUCAGGUCCUUUACUAAAGAAUAGAGUGAAGGAAGAAUGAAUCGAAGGAAGUAUUUAAGUAAGUGCUGCAGUGCCAGGAAACUGGAAAGGAUAAUACUCUUAAAGCAAGGGCAAGGUAAGAAGGGUUGCUAGCUCUAAGUCUUCAAGGGAAGAAAGGAGUUUACUUACUUCAACUCAGGAUUCGAAUUCUCUCUACGUAUUUGGAUUUUGCUCUUAUAAGAUCGAUGGUGUGGGCACCUAGUCUUCCAUUUCCUAAAGCUUUUUCUUUGUCUUAGGUGUCACUCACUCUUAUUAUGGAUCUUAUAGGGCGGGUGGACGUUCUCUAAAAGAAAGGCCCGUGUACACACACAUUAUAAGCAGUAUCCCGAACGAAGGCAUAAGAUAGAAGAUGGAGCUAUGAACUUCCGGGCACAGAUGACCUUCUUUCUCUUUUCUUGUUAGUAUUCAUUAUGCGAGAUAGGCAGGACUGCGACACCGGCUAUACAAACUCUCACACUUGCCAAGUCUUGACGUCGAGUUUGGAGUCAAAUAGAGUAUUAUGCAACUCAGUAUAGAGCACUAAUAGAGAUCGAAUAUUCAUGGCGUUAGUCUAAGUGGUGUUCAUGGCGUUAGUCCGAUGCCUUCAUGGAGUCCUGUGUUCAUGGCAGUAGGAAUUCUCACAAUUCUUUUGCUGAUAUUCGUGAUUAAAGGGCGCAGCUGAGCUAGAUUCAAUGAUUCAAUGAUCCCGGGUAGCAAGUAGUAGAGUAGUUAAGAGCCAGACCAGAGUAGAGAGAGGCUCGGGAAGAAAGAUUAUCUGCUUCAUCUAGGCAUUCUUACUCUAAGACAACUCUAUCCCCCCUUUCUUUGCCUCAAACAUCAAACAUGGGACUUAUUCCUCCUAACACCAUUGAGUUUUGUUAUGUUGUGCGCCAAGUAAUACAGUAUAAUUGACUCUCACUGAUGCUUUCUCACUUAGGAAUGCACCUGCAAACAACACUUAGUCUUCUUGCGCCGAGCUAUCAUAGCAUCUAAGAUCUUAUUAAUAUCACCUUUCUCUAUAUUCCCCUAUUGAAUAUAACCUUUCUCCAUAUUCCCAUAUCUUAUUUGCUUUUACCGACCUAAACUCUCACUUACUCUGAUCCAGCGGAUUCUUUAGCCAGUGCUUUACCCUCUUUUGUUUCCGCACUAAAAUCCAUUCCUUUACCAUAUCUUCUUCUUCUUCGAUACGAACAGCUGAUUCUUGAGUAAAUGACAGCACUACUUCCGACAACAAAGGUAAAGCCAAUCAAUCACCUUCCAAAGAAUAUCUCUCUGACUUUGAUUACCGAGUUUUCUUCUAUACCAUACCUUAUAGCAUUUUCAUCUUAUACUUGCACAUUAGGAGUGACUAAGCCAACCCUUCUUUCUGCGCCCUUAACGUAAAGGAAGCAGUUAACCCAACAAGUCACGUAAUAACUUCAUUAGAACAUAUUUAUGGAGUUCUUGCCUUCCCGCAACACCUGAUUCACUUAUGGCUUUGAAAGCCCAAAUAGGAAGUUUCACCUCUCGAGUCGACUACAACAAGAACGUAACUACUUUGAGCUCCAGCAGGACUAUAAGGAAGGAAGGUAAAGAACAGGAACUCCACGAAACGACAACAAAGAAUCAUCUACAGUGGUUUCGAGCGCAUGUAUAUAUGAUUGUAAUCUUACCCGCCUCUAUUCAAUACCUCCUUACCUUAUGCUUUGGAGUGUCCUCUUCUCUUACUUAGUUCUAUACACUAAGCUCUUAUUCCAUUCUGAAUUCUUGUUCUUUCUUUUGCAGAACUCUACUUUCUACUUGCAGAUGACCUUACUUUAGCCUCGGAUUCUGAACCUUGGAUCAAGACUCACUUCCCCGGCUGAUGCUCCCGCUCUAGACUCUAUCCUUUCAGACCUGCUUACCCUAUGUCAACAAAUUAGGAUUGAUUUCUUCCUGAGAUACCACUGGAUUUCUUUCUUAUAGAACAGAUGAAACAAGAACCCGAACUGGACAACUUGGAACUAUACAGCCUACUUUACUUAAGCUUUAUCACAAGCACUGAGUUUUGAUUACUAUAUAUGUGUUCGUGUGCGGCAGGGCUGCUCAAAUAAAUAACCCUGCUGGCUCUGCUGGGCGAGUGGAUUCUUCCCCAACCGGUAACUUCACUCUUUAUUAACUUCCCUCUUUUCUUUCCUCUCCCUCUCUAUCUGGUGUUGGAGACAAAAGAAGAUAGUACUUGCUUUGUUGCGAUUGGUUAAUUCCAUUCAAAUUGCAUUCUUUAGUAGGAGCAGGGGAUAUACUAUUUUGCCCUAGAAACCCGCUUGCUAAAUACUCGUAUUCAGGGCACCUCGUAUCAAAAGCAGUAUAAUCUUCUGUCUUGUGAACUUGUAUAUAAGGGGACGCGUCAGUUAAUGGCUCGAUAAGCAAAGAUAAGAUGACAAGUCCAGCCCCAGCUCUUAAAGCAAAGGUUGAUUCGUCCAGCACUGUCCACGACCUAUACUUUCGGUGAAGAAGAGAAGAGGAUUUAGCUAGGUCUGAUAGAACCCGGGAAAAAGAAGAACGCCUUGACGCAGAGUAAAGUACCUGGAAAUAGAAGCUAUGCCUCCCUAAAACAAUAUUAGGAAUUAUAAGCCUAUCGUACGCCCGUGUCUAUCUCCUGUCAAGUGUGCUCCCUUCCAAGCUACUCUCACAGCAACUAUAACAGUGUUACUAACAACAAAGAGCAGUACCAGCUCAUCAGUGGUUCAAGUGCAGUGCCCGGAAACGGUUCUUUGAUCUAUGGCGACAACAAUUUCCCAACUGAUCCAUGGUAAAUAUAUUCCAAAAAUCAUAAUGAAAGCGAGUAUCCUGAGUUUCAUAACCUAAAGCACAGGUCUGUCUUAUUAUCAACAGCGGAAGCAAUCCUAUGAGGGUAUCUUUGGUUCUCCUCUAUGAUUGAGUUUGAUAUGUAUACUUAUCUGGAGACAUGGCUAUCGUAUGUCCACAGCGCUCGAGUUUUGCUCCGCAUCAAACAACUCAUGGGUAUUAUGCAUUCAUCUUCUUCAAUUGUUCUGCGAAGGACUGGAUAGGUGUAAGUGGUUCUUCUCCCUCGAUCUGUCUUCGUUGGAAGGUAGGGUUUUCCCUCUAUCUGGGUGUCCCGUUGAGUGCUACAUCUAGUUGUCUCCCUGUUUGGAGGUUUGGUUGACUCCUUUUCUACCUCAUUUCGGUUUUCCACAAACUGCCACACCAUGCCCCUUCUCCAGGGCUAGAAUAGUAUAGGUAAUAACUACCGAUCCCAAAAUGACUCCAUGUGCCCCGUCCGCUUAGACUCUUACUGCUUUCAUGAGUGCUGGCCCUUAUUGUAAGUUUCAGAUAGACCAACCUACUUUGGCGCACGAGGUGGCUAGGUAACAUAAAGUCAGGGUAUCGGACUGCAGAACUCCAUAAGCGCUUAACUGCUCAAUGGAACUUUCAACACUAAAUGGAGUAGUGGUCGACCGACGCCUUAGGUCCUUUAAUCAACCCCUUUUUACCCUAAUGGUAAUAGGGUGUGUUGUUAGUUUUGACUCUAUUCUAUGGAUUUUUAUUGGAAUGAAAGAAAUGACUUUCUACUGAGCUGCUUUUCAUAGCUAAAGUAGGCCAGUUCCUGUUGACAGUUAAGUCGGUUCAGAAAGUGAAUCAGUGUCAUUGGAUUCUUCCACGACCCCAACAACAAAUAGGGCAACAUUGGACAUUACCGGGUCCGCUGUGAGCAAAUCGCCUCUUUGCGCAAAUCCUUUUAAGCCAGGAUUGCCCCUAUUCGGUUCUUGGAGAAGCCCGGGUAAGAUUCAUAGCUAAUGGUUUCAUCAUCCUAUGAUCACAUUCCUUUUUCGAAUGGACUGCUAUCACUCGUCUGCGAACAGAUCCUUCUCUUGUCUUAACAGAAUUCAGAAAUCCAUUCCUACUGCCACUGCUCGUCCGUAGGCUAGAACGAUAUAACGGAGCGCUUACUUCUUUUGUGAACACCAAGCGUAACAACAAUUCCCACGUCAAAGGAAAGCUAGUGGAACUAGAGAUUGAAGCAAAGCUCAAAGAGAAAUUGAUGUAACAGCAAAAGCAGCACGCAGCGAAUACAAGAUAGUCGAGUUGCUCAGCUACAGUCGUUGUAGUAGGCCUAAGGUUUUGUUUCCCCCAGUGACUUUAAAGCGGCCGGCAUUACGAAGGCAGGAACUUAGCUUUCUAGGCGACAACUUUAGAGUGGAAAGUGGAAUACGAACCACGAGUACGGUAUCAAGGUUUCUUUCUGGACGUGGACAUUUGCGCUUGCUGGCUUUUUCAAUUGAAUAAAAACCCUUAGGAAUAACUCGCCCAGAUCCUUUAGUUGCUCCUAAUGGCAGGUGCUAUGUUUCCACAGGUGUUAUAGAAUAGAGCUUGCCCUGCGCUUCGAGGAAAGGCCUGCGGUGAAGUCUGAAAUCAAGCAAUUAUCUAAAUCAAGUUUCAUGGAUUCCUUUACACUGUAAAUAGGGAGAUCCAGCUAGAAUAUAGCAAGUCAAUCUUAAGGCACGAAAGAAAGACUUGGGCGCACAAGGAUAAAGUAGAUACUGCCCAGAACAGCACUCUUCCUCAGAUUCUAUAGAUUCCGUUUCCGUUCCUAGCGAGCUAACAUAAAACAAUUCCCUUCCAAACUAUCCUACUGCUAUUCGCUUGCCAAUCACCUAAAAACUCAAAACAAAGAAAGCCCAGUUGGGACGGGACGGCAAAAGAAGGAUAAGAAUUCCCAUGCCUGGCAAGAGACUGCAUUAAGGAUCUGACAAUCGAAGGAAGCACUUACUUCACGUAGUAAAGCCUCUAACUAGAUGAAGUAAACUCCCAGCGAGAAAGAAUUUCACAGGAACUGCCAACUCAAAGCGACGAUAAAGGCUAUUGAUACUACUCAAAAUACUGAAAUACUAUAACCUUGGGGAGGAGCAGAAAUCCACUUCUGGAAAAGGGACAGCACCAAUCCCAACUCAAAAGGUAGGGCGGGUCACCUAUUCCCUCGGCUGGCACAACAGAAAAGAUAUAGCCUAGCAAGGAACUUAAUAGUAUUGAAGGAAGAGGAGGAGUGCCAACUUUAAGGGAUCCCCAAAGAAUAGGAGGUAUAUUUCAAGUCAAAAGUGAACUAUAGAAAUUGAAGCUUUUUAAAGUCAAAGUCAGAAGGUAUGAGUUUAAGUUCAUCCAUAUCUGUAAAAGUUCAUCCAUUCUCCUCUCGUCUCUUUUGGGUUAUGUUAUCCUUAGUCCCCACACCACAGCAGUCUUAGUUUUGGGGUUAUGUUAUCCUUAGUCCCCACACCACAGCAGUCUUAGUGUGAUUCCGUCUAGCACUAGCAAAAGAUGGUGGCAUUCCCCUUGGCUUCACCCGGCCGAUAGAAGGUUCGAUUGGGAAGUUUCAUUCUGCUCUAGGCGAAAUACAAAGAAGGAUCGAUAUUCUUGAUUUCUGUCUUUUCCAGAGCCCUGAUUCGGCCUUAGCUUAGUUACUGAGGAAGCAGAUCUCUAUCUACAGGGAUUCUAGGCUAUGGUGGUUGACUUACUAGUUAGGUUAGUUGUAGAAUUCUAUUACUUACUCGGGUAGUUGACAUACUAAGUAAGGGUAGUUUACUGACUUGGAAGAAAUGAAAAGAAAUGAGAAAUAUGAAAUGCAGGCUUCAACCAGGCAGUUUCAGAAUCCAACUAGUAAGUAGGUGAGCUAGUCGGAAAGUAGGAAUUCCACUAGUUAGUAGUAAGCCUUAAGUCAGUUGCCCGAUGACCUAGUAGAACUAAGCCAAGGUAUUAAUUCCCUGCUUAUAGGUAUAUACUCAUAAUUGAACUAGCAGGUAUAAGCCCUAAAACCAGUGCAUCAAGGACAAGAAUCAAACUAGAAGGUAAUGAUUCCCCGCUUCUAUUAGUAGUAGAGUAGUUGAAUAAGUAGUUGGUUACAGAGGUAUCGGAUAAGAGACAGAGGCUCAAGGCUCAAUUAGUACUCGUUGCCAGCCCAGAAUCAAGACUAGUUGUAUCGUAGUCAAGAGCCAGGGGAUAGGUAGGAAAGGUAGAAUCUUGAAUAAAGAGGAGAGGCGACGAACUAGACUCAAAAGCACUAUAGGGACAUUUACGGAGGAAACAUAGGUCAUUUGCCAUCAAACCCCAUAAGUGAUGAAAUAGCUCAUUUGAAGCCGACAAGGAACGGAUAGACAAGCAAGGAGACCAGGCAGAUAGACAAGCAAGGAGACCAGGCAGCGUCCUGUGUGAACCUGUAUUUGAUUCUAUCUUUCUUUCUUAUGAGACCCCUAAGGCAACUUGACCUCUGGCUCUGCUCGGCUUGGUUAUACGUGACUUGGCUGAUAGCGGUGGUUGAGUGACUGAGUUUGGUUGUUGGCUAAAGUAAGGGUAGUUAGAGUGCCGGGCUUACUGGUUUCUUCAUUGAAACAAGAAAUAAAAGAAUGCAACUAUCGGAGGGCAACUAUCCCUCGAAUAAGAAGAGGAACAGAAAUGGGUAAGAAUGGAAGGUGAAAGUAAGCACUAAAGGAAUCACUUGGAGGUGUUGAUAGCUCUGCGCUCGCUAAUCCUGUUAACGGAAGCCUAAAACUAAAGUCUGGUCCAGCGCUACUAAGUAUUGAAAGUUCCUGUGAGAGUUUCAUCCUAUAUAGAAGAAAAGUAAGAGUCAACUAAAAAGCUUGAAAGCGAAGGAACAAGUAACUGCUAAUAGACAAGCUGGAAAGAAGAAAGGUAGGCAAAAGAAGUGACCAAAACUAGAGAAUUAGCCGAGGGGGUGUAGUGUAAUAGACAUCCUAGGAGGUGUGUAGUAGAAGAAGUGGAGAAUCAGCGGGAACUCUAUAAUCAUAGGGAACAAUAGAAUCAGCGGGAACUCUAUAAUCAUAGGGAACUAUAUCAGAUACGGGAUAAGGUACAUAAGCAGAAGUCAGAGAAUCAGCGGGAACAAGAAAAUAGACUAGAUAAAAGAGUCGCGUUCUCAUGCCCACUACUAUGCGGUUAAGUCGAAAGAGAAUGCACCGUAGAAAUAGAAAGAUAAGAUAAGAGGGUUGUUUGUAUAGUAGACCCGGGUAAUUAGCCAUAAGUAAGUGCCCAUUUCUUCUUCCUCUGUUGCUUCAGAGCCAGACUUAGAGCCAAUAAGUUCUCUCGAAGACUGUUAGUAUAGUCAACUUUACAAGCACUGCUAAUUCUUGAGUAAAGAGCCGAUGGAGUACCCAAAAGAUAGAAAUUAAUCACAUUCAUAACCGGAAAGCGACUACUACAAAGGAAAAGAGAGAAAGAAUCAAAUAAGGUAUACCUCAUUAAGUGAAUAGUUGACAGAGUUGCAUGAGCCAGAGAGGGAUGAGAUCGAGGUCAGUUAUGAUUAUUAGUGGGAAUACCUUUAGUUGUAGUCCAGGUAGUAGUGGUCCAAUCGAUAAGUAGUGGUCCAGUGAGAAAGUAGAGUUCCUGCUCGAGUGAUGAGUUGAAAGAGCUAGAUCAGUUGCCAAAGAAAGAGAGAAAGCUGUAUCGGGGAGGAAGACAAUAAGUGACUUUUUAGGAUAGGUCGGGUGUCAGGUAUAGUAUUCUAGAUGAUAGGCUGUGAGAGUUUAAUCCCUAGCUAGUUUACAGAGGAUAGAGAAGAUUAGCUAGUUGCAAGAGGAGAGUUAUCAGAGCAAUCCAAUCCAUAGUUCUUAAAGAAUAAAGUAAGGGCUUUGAGGCUAGGGGUUGUUGUGGAUUGGCCCCUUUCCACUCAUUUGGAAGAAAUGUGGGAUGAAUAAAAACAAUCAAAUCACAGCCAAGUCACUACUAAUGUGACGCUAAAGUGCCGCUAGUUUCACAAAUAAGGCAGAAACCUCGAGAGCAUUUUUCUAUAGAAACUCUAUACUAGUUAGGAAGGGAAAAACAUAGUCUAAUUCUAUCUGUUAUUAUUAAGGAAACCAGCAGCAAUCGAGUCUUCAUCAAAUACUGGUUCUUGUGAGCAACAGUAGGAGUUACAAAGAAGAGAGAAUAAAUAGUGGAAAGAUAAAAGAAUCAUAGGAAGUGGAAGGUCGAGUUAGAGUUAUGAGCCAGCAGCUUGUUUUAUUCUUUCACUCUGAUAAGAAAGAGUGGAUUAACUCCCUUCCCGCUUGCAGUUGACUUUCGAACUCAAGUUAUGGUUAAAACGGAUUGUAUGCCGCAGCUUGCCUACUUGCUAUGUGCUCGGGACGGGAGCAAUAACUGUAUUAGUUGCCAUUGCCAGAGGAGAGACGCCGUCAGCAAGCAGUUCUUAAAGCAAAGGAGUGCUGUUUUAAAGCAAAGGAGUCAAGUUUUCGUACACGGGUUUUGGUGAGCCAAGUCACUACAAGUGGAAUCCCUUUAGUACUGUUCCUGGUGGCCCCUGUUCCGCCUUUCUUAAAAGAAGGGCAGCUUCAGCUGCGAUGGCUACUGAUAUCACUCUUAGCUCCCGAUCUCAAUGCCCUAUCUCUGAAACUGAAACGGAUGAAACCAAUGCAGAGCUUGUCUAUACAGCUAACUCAUGUAAGGCAGACUCAAACUGGAGCAUAAUAAUAAUAGGCGGGGGUUCCGCUAUUACCUACCCAGCUAUGAAUUCCCGAGGUACAUUGAUUCCUGGGGAUGCUACUCAACGACUAUGUUAUUUGACUUUAGCCCGAUACUAGUGCUACCAAGACUUCACUACUAUCAUAUAAGAUGUAACCCACUGAUAACAAGGCUUUGGUGCUAGGCCGGGAAUCCAACUCAUAAGUAAGGGACAUCGGCUGAGCGCUACUAUAGUGUAUACAGGAAUAGAAGAACUGAUGCCACUGAUAAUUUCACUAACGCCAAUCAGACGGAAAGGCAGGCCAAGCAACUUACAUAGCUCGUAGUCUUCUGAUCCCUCUUCCAUUACUAUCUCUCGUGCCCCAGUUCCUUAAACUCAUGCCUUUCACUCUUAGUUUCCCAUCUUUGAUUCUUAUUACAUAGGUGAGUAUAGCGCAUACAGGACAUAGCAUAGAGCCUACCAAGCACAAGAAUAGAGCUACGACGCUUCUAAUACUUGAACCUGUAAUAUAAAGAAAUGCACUGGUGCUUUAAAUACUGGAACUCGAAACUGGAAUUCUGACCUUUUUCGUCUUAGAUGAUUAACUAUCAAACUCAUAUGUUGCCCAGAUAUUGAGAAAAGGAUAGCUUAGCCAGCAAUGGACUUAUAUUAGUAAGCAUCAGAACCGAACAGGUAAGUAGAAGCUUAUAGGUCAGGAUACCCGGCUAGCAAGCAGGCGUAAGUCAAAGGAUUUCAAUCAUUAGUAAAUAGGAUGAUAAAACAGAGGGUAAGCGCUCGGAGUUGAACUGAUUAGUCACAGAAUUCAGGGAUAAGAUAUGUAAUUUCCCUACUGGUUCCCUAGCUCUCAAGUAGUAAAUAAAUAAGAAAAACGUAGUAGUAUGGGUGACAUACAUCCCAAGAAUAGAAAUAAGUAGUAAGGCAACAACUCUCAAGUCGGAAUCAAACAAAGAAGUAAGGAUGACAGCGCCAAUCCGAAGAGUAGAACCAGGCCCGGGUCUCUACCGUUAUUCGUGACUUGCCUGCCUGGCUGUACUUUUUCACCUAAGAAAAUACUCUCUCAAAUGCCAAUCAAUCUUAUAUAAGUGAACUGAAUAGUUUUGUAUUUCAUAAUAUCAUAAUAACAGAUGGAAUCAAAGCUAUUAGGGACAGGCUAGCAAUCGGGCAUAGCAGUUUGAGUUUCAAAGCAAGGGAAGCGGGGAUCCGGAUCGGCAGUGAGAGAACGAAGGCAAGGGGAUAUGGUCUAAGAUAAGGUAAAGCAAAACGGAAAGUCAAGGUAAUCAGAUUUGAAGCAAGGCAGCUUUGAUGUCAGUCCAUGGUAUUUUAGAAUAGGAGUUAGGAAGGGCAGGCCAACACACCUCAAAGUCAAGGGUCUCAUAAUGAAAGUCAGCACUACAAUACAUUAACUAACAACCCAGGCGAAAAGUAAGGGUAGGGAGAUUCAUAGGCCGCGUAGCAAAGAGAGGCUAGGCUCUAGGCCAGUAAUACAAGAAUCAAAACACAGAUCCGAAUCAGCAGUGAUAGCCUAAUAGAGCGGGGUUGUUUCCUAGGGUUUUCAAGAGAUAAGUCAGAUACGGAUGGGAACUCGGAAUGACACUAUGCACUAGGAGACCUUAACUAGGAAAUAAGACUUACUUGACUUCCCAUGGGUCUUACUGCCCAUACUUACUAUUGGAUAACUACCUACUAUUAUAUAUUAGAAGCAAAUAGUGCACUAACGAAUGAAACUACAACGGACGAGAAUCAAGCUAUUACUUCCGAGAAUAAACCAAAGAGUAUAGAACCUAACUACCGCUUCUCGGGCUUAAGUAAAUAAGGUGUAGUUCUAGGCUAAGGUAAGAGUCGAGCAGCUAAGUCAAAGAACGAAAUAAGGGCAUAGGGAACAGAACCGGGGCCACCAAUACUGUAUCUUGUAAUGAGGAAAUCAACUCGAAAAGGCAAGACUUGACCCGCUACCGGGAAGAAUCAAUCCAAUGUUAAUAAGACUUCCUUACUGUCUCAGCGCUCAGUGAAACUACCAUAGUACCAGAAAGGAUGGAACAAGCGCUUAUAGGACUUUCACUCACAACCGGCAAUUUCACUAACAAGUAGUAAAUAAACUAGUGUCUUUAAAGCUCUAACUACUGCUCUCAAGGCUAACUACCUCGGCUUUCACUCUCUGGGCUCCCUAUUGACUUUAUUGCUUUUGAGCUAAAGUGUGAAACUAUUGAAUCCAAAUCUUAUACCUCUGCCAACAAGAGUAAGACAACAACAUACUACUCUUUUCAUUCCGAUACCAUGGCAUAUAAAUCUUAUUACUCUACAAAUAAGGAUGGGACUGCUGAAGGGAGACUGCCCUUAUUACCUAUUUGUUUGACUUUCCUUGCUCUCAAGCACUAGAACUACCCCUAUGAGAUUAGACUGUUCCUAUACCAUAUGGGAAUGAAACUACAAAAAAGAAGUAGUGCUUUGGUUUCAUCCCAGUUCCCGUAGGAGUAAGUAUCUGAUCACUCUCCCCAGUAGUCGGAAUGCAACUAAACAGUAUAAGAGUCAAGACUCAAAGUAAGGGCAGCUUCGCAGCUGUCAGUGUGAAAGAGGUGGGUAGUGUGAGUUUAAGAGAAAGGUAUGGCAGGCUCUAAGGCAUUACCGGAUCAGUAGCUCUGGUCUUAGGUUCUAUUCUUGUUAGCCCUAGUUCCCAGCUCCAUUCUCACUUUUAGACGUUGCUUGGCGAAGCAAUCUCGUAACUAUAGUACUGGAAAGAAUGCACUACUUACCUAGUGGAUCAAACGACUCUUGUAAAUAUAAUAAGAAAGGAUGUAGAAACCUAUACUAUCAUAUAAUAAUUAAUAAUGUUUUAACAAGCCAAUCAAGAACUGAAUAAGGAUUUCUCAUUGUUUAAGCACUGAUCUUCUCUAUUCUCGACGUACCAACCGUAGUUUUGUUCUGACUUGAGAAUUGAGUUGACUCUAGUUCAUGGGCAUAAUCAAGUACUCGUUUUGCUAACCUAAGUCUAUGAGAAAGAAGUUGGUGCUAGGGUUGUGGAAAGUUCAGGAGUUAUUCCCUUGUGUAUAAGUCUGCAAGAUAAAUGAUUGGCGCUUGUCAGUUGCCCGCUCAAAGUAUUGAUUACUCAGAUAUGUGCUUGAGAAGUCCAGACAAUAAAAUAAGUGUCGAAGUCGGCAAAAGGAGAGGAUGGCGAGAAGACAUAAACAAGUCCUGUGUUCGGGAGCUAGUCCACCGAUUGCCCGAAGCUAGUAACUAAGAUCAGAAUCAAACUCAUGGGUUGGAAAGUGAGAAUGCAACAGGGUAGUCUUUCGGGAGUUAGAGUGAAACGGUAGCGAGCUAUAAUAGCGGUAGGUUGUUGUUGUGUUUACUUUAUUAGUACUCGCCCCGACACACCAAUCAUUCUUUUACUGAUUAGUUCGAUCUCCUAAGUUUGUAUUGAUUCUUUGACUUAUUAGUUGAGCUGCUGUGUAAGUAGUUAAGCCUGAGUUCCCAGUUAAAGUAUCUUAGUGCGCUGUUUCCCUCUUUGACUACGAUGAUCCUCAACUAAUACAAAUAUAGAGCUAUAAGGCUAUAGGCGGUGUAGGAUCUAGUGCAUCAGAUAGCUAUUAACUAAAAGAAUUCAAAGAACAAGUAAAAGACCUCGAGAUACUGUUUAUAAGACUGAUUAACUACCCACUCUAACAAGAAUAGAGCGACUACUAUAUGAAUGGAACUAACUGGUAGAGGAUGAAACUUGAAACAUGGGAUCCAAAUACUGACUAUGAGACUUGAACACAACUCCAAUAGAUUGAACUGAGUAGCCAAGGAAUCAAACCAACGCCUAAAAGCCUAGCCCUACUAAAGAAAUGAACUCGCUAUCCUGUGUCGAGAGUCACUCUGCCCCUCUUUGCUUGAAAUCUGAGAUAUACCUCCUCGCACCCUGUUUGUUAGCUUCCCUGCCUUACCCGAAAACCGUAUCUCUGCUUUAACUCUGACUGCCGUGUCUAUUAUUCUUUAGCCAAGGCAAUAGAGACUAGGGAAUAGCGUAUAAAGAGUAGAAUCGAACUAGUGCCAACGGGAAUCCAACACUCACUGAUAGACCUACUACUUUACAUAAUACAAAAGAAGUGAACCACUGCCUCUUAGACUUAACUAGGUGCUUCUAAUACUUACCCGACUCGCCCGGAUCCUGUGUUCUAUUACGAGUAUAUGCCACUCCCAUCCCAACUACCAUUAUGUAACUCAUGUCUAUUGGCCUUACUUGUUCCCUUGCUUGAUCUUUGACUUCUUGAAUGUUAGUUUGCUGUUGCUAGUUUACUAGUUCCUGCCGAAGAAAUAAGGAUUGGCGCUUGUUCGGUGCUCUAGCUCUAAGUCAUAGAGAGAAGAAUGGCCUGGCCUGUUCUCAAGUAAAGUUCGGGUGCUAAAUCUCUUGCUGAUAGCGGGUACUUUUGAACUCACUCCUACUGUUCCUACUAUCCUAUUGCCCCAUUGCAUCCUUAAUAACAAUAGUAAUAGGAGAUAGAUCUAUCCCUAUAAAGAACAGAACUUCCCGCCUCCACCAACUUACUAUAAGGGCCUAUGGCUCAGCUACCUAUGGGAACUGUAAACAAAUACUUCUUGAAAGAGCUAUACCUACUUAAUUAUAAGGGCAACUGCCAAGCGUAUACUAGACAAUAGUAGCAAGAGGAAAAAUUAGGACUCAAAAAGAAAGGUGAACUCUGGCUCAUUCAUUGAAAUAGUAAACUCCCGAAAACAGGACUUGCAAAUUACUCAUACAAACUUCUAAUUAAGUAAGCGCAUAUUAAGCUUGUUCGAUCGGAACUACAUUCUUUGGACCACUACAAGGGAAAGCGUCAACUACUCUGUCUUAUAGCUCUAAUUCUUAUCUCUAACCCCCAGGUAAACAGUCCUUUCCUUGACUUCCCGCAACAAAGCCAGUAAGAUAUGAUUCCUCGGACAGCUAUAGACCUAUAUCUUUAUUUCGGGAACAAGCAUCUCUGUAUCUGUGUUGGCUUGGAAUCCAUUUAAGUGCUCGAAUCCAACUCAAUACACUAGAUGAAACUCAGUGAACUCAACUCGGAACUAUAGGAACAAUGCAUUUGAGAAUCCCAACUUCGGAGUAUAAGAAUGAGGAGGCGCCCCGCAAGAUCAAACUAACAAGUAGAAAUACCGGACAUAACUCUAAUGCAUUGACGAGGCAAGAGAGACUAUAACUAGUGCUUCUAUUACUUUAACUGGGAACUUCGAAUUGAGCUAGUGCUUCUCGGAAUGUGGAUGCUCAAACUCAAAAAGUCAGAAUAUGGUUACGAGGUAGGCGCAUCCAAAGAUUCAAAUGCAAGCUAGGGAACAAGACCUUUGCUUGGAACUGCAGCCUGUAGCUACUGCUUAAAGGCUUUAACUAAUUGCUUUCAUUCUUCGACUCAUAAGUAGGAAUCGCACCCCGGCAGAACCAUAAUGACUAUGCCCCCCGCCACCGGAGAAGACUUAACCUAGUACUUCAAAGCCCUGUUACCUCUUCUCUGAGCCUGCCGCUGCUGAUCGAAAAUAUGAGAAAAUCCCCCAAGAAACUAGGCUUGCUGUUAAGGGUUUCAACUAGCACUCAGGUCUACCGGGGGUCGAACUCAGACUUACUUGACUGUUAAUCGGGCGGACUUCCCUGGCUAUUAGGCUUACAAUCCUUCCUUUGAAACUGACAUCUCUACUGAAAAGAAUGGAAAAAGAAACUAGGAAGUCAACCAAUGAAAACAACACUUGAGCUCAUUGCAAGGAAAUACACUAUUGCUCCCAAGCCUGCCCCUCUUGUCUUUGAGUCUACCAUGCCUCUUGAUAUCAUUCCAAAACGACGAAAUAGCACUCUGAAACUACUCACUAUAAUAAUUUCCAUAAUGCCUACGAUAACUAAACUAAGCAAAAGCGAGACUGGGACCGCUGCUCACAAUAAUGAAACAAGCGACUGGGAAUGGAACCGGGAAUACAGGAACAGGGUACUGCUUCUAAUACUUUACUUCUUGAAACAAGCCCUGCAGCUGUUACCUAUUGACUGAACUCUUGCUCUUUUCUCUCUCCUAUGGCAACUAGCUAAUCUCUAUCCUAUCCUCUGAUUCUGGUUCCGAUAAGUGGGUUUCAUUCUGAUCUUCAGUACUUAUAGGCUUCCUCUCCUAUUCUGCACUUCUUUACUUAUUGCUUAGCUUCCUCGCCUCGAACUUUCACUGGUUAUUCUCUUUCUUACCGAUUAGUUCCAAUUAGGCUCCUCUCUGUCCUAUGCCUAUCCGAUUAGUUCCAAUUAGGCUCCUCUCUCGCUACUAGACCUAUGGCAACUAUACCUUAAUUCUUCUAUGGUUCUGUCAACUACUACUGUUAUGGCUCUGGGCUCUGUAAACUCAUACAGUUAUUGCUCUGGACUAUUCUCCUCUUGCAACAACAAAAUCAUUUGAAUGCGCGUACCCGCUGCAGGGCGAGUUAGUCUCUUGAGCACCGGAGGAAGCCACUGGUAGAUCAGCAACUACAAGUCCCAAGUCCAGGAAAAACCUCUGCACUAAGUAAUAAAACAGGAAAUAUUAUUGUAUUCUCUUCUCGGCCUUUGAUGCGAGGUGCACUUCCAUAGAGAAAGCUGUUCCAGUGGAAUCCUUUAAAUAAGAAUAAGGGAACUACUAAUAAGUCUAACUUCCACUCUGAUAUCACUCUAUUAACUGCUGAAUAAGAGGCCCAAGCAUCUGUCUUUGCAAGAACCAGAACAAGGCAUUCUACUGCUGACUUUAGAACUGAUCCUUCUCAAGCUGAUGUAUAAAAGCCUUCUUUCUCUGUUGGCUCUGGCUCUUUGAACUAAUUAGCAACUUUCUUGAUUUCUUGAUUUCUUUCUGAAACUUAUGGCUAGUCUCUUUGAACCUAGUCUCUUUUAAGAGGAUAAAUUGAUUGAGUUUAUAAGAAAGCUCACUCCGCGUAACAUUUGUAUAUACUUGGCGGGUUCUACUACUCCACAACUGCUUCAGAUCCUUUUCCAACCUCUGAUCGAGUAGACUAGGAUGAAACUCGGGGUUAAAAGACAGAUGAAACUCUUGCAACAAAGACAUCUGAAACCAUGGACAGAUGCUAGAUCGGAAGAAACAAGAGAUGGCAACAAUACCUUCAGCAGAAGCAACUGGUAGAUCAGCAACUGAGUUAAUAUAAGAUAGAAUGAAAUACCUGUAAGUAACUGAAUCAAACUAGAAACUCGCAACUACGUGCUUUACUUAUAUAUCGUGUAUAAAGAAGCUCUUUUCUCGAGCCUAUGGAGCGGCGAUACGCUAAGUCAAGCAAGAGGGAGCAGGUGUUCAAGCUAGAUCAUAAGAAGGUUCAUGUGCAUCCGCUUAUGAAUGGACAUAAAGAGAUGAUACUUUACCUUGCCCCCCCACAAAGAGAUUCUAUAAGACACCUUUUUUGGGGCGAAGAGCAACUCCUAACCUAUCUCCUACCUUGGUGACAUCAAUCUAGAAUACCUAACUCAAUCCUUUGACCUUGCCUUUGAAUCCAUUGUAGGAUCUGCUUAUAGCUAAUCCUGUUCUUGCUUAAGGUUGAACUCUGACCCCCUUAACAACUUACUUAUAUCCACAGGCAAGCUAGCAUCCACUGAUACCUCGCACCCAACCCGAAGGAAGGAGCGCCUGCUUUUAAUCACACCUCUAUGGAAUCUAUCUCUUUAAAAUGGAUCAUAUUAUCGGAAUGGAAUUGCCCCGACUAACGCUUCAUCUUGAUUUCUAGCACUUGGUAUAGAGUUGUUGAGUAAAGACAUAAAUAGCUUCCCUUUCAGAUCGGCUCGGCCUGGCUUCCUUCCCUUUUGAAUUGAACUAACACAAAGAAAGAUUAAUUGGAUUGCAGGGGGACCCCUCAUACUUUUUUGCAAGAAGGAGCACUAGGCACGCCGGUUGGUUAGCUACCUAUUCUAUGAUACCCCUGCCCUCUUGCGAACUUGAAUUCAUAGUUUCUCGGUGACUUCUGCCUUUCCAGCUUUCUAGUAUAAUUCCAUUCUUCUAACUCACUGACGCGCUUUUAGCUCGUUACCGCCACGAAGAAAGGACACUGUAGCUUGCACUUAUUAACGCUGCUUGUUGGAACUCAUCGACUUGGACCAAUCAUUUAUUGAAACUUCAACACUUGUGCACCAACAUAAGAACACCUCUUUCUCUCUAUGACAAUGAGGCGAGACGAGACAAUCAGUUGACGUGCAUUCAAUUCCAACUUUCAAUGUGGAAUCUUUCUCUUACUCUUAUUAUCUAUAUCUAUAUGAAACGAGAUCUAUUUAUCUUUCUUUUGCUUCAUCAGAUCUGUCUUUUGCGCGUAAGAGAGUCUGACCUUAACCGCUUUCCUUCACAUUCUUCAGGUGAACUCUUUGGAACCGAGCCCUAAACUCGAACACUCUUCUCUUGCUCCUACACCUAUGUCAACUAAUACAGUUAUGGCUCCCCCAUCUUCCACUUAUACUAAAGUAGUCAAUCCUCUUUACCGCAACUCAGAUAUAUAGUAGAGUUACUACUACUCGGCAGAGAAACAGGUAAUUUGACUUCUUGUACAGGGUUGGUGACUUCUUGUACUGGCUUGUCUAUGACUUUAGAGUUUCUUUCUGGAAGUGAAGCUAGCUAACCUUACUUGCUUUCCCUAGCUAACCUUACUUGCUUCAGCCCUCUUUAAGGCUUCUACUUAUUGUUUUCAGUCUGAGUUUACUACUUGCCAACGACGUUCAAUUCUAAGAUUGACUGGUUUCAUUCUUGCCCUGACCUGUUCCAUUCUUUGACUACCUGGUUGCACUCUUAGUUUCCAGGUUAUUUCUUCCCUCUCCUCUCGCAACAAAGUCGAUACUUUCUUCUUUCCCUGAACUGCUAGCCAGUCAGUCAAUUACUUUACUCUGCUACUUACUAUAAGGGCCCGACUUCCUAGAGAUCUGAGUCCAAUAACUUCCCUUUGACUCGCUUGUAUUUCACUCUUGGAUUUAUUGUUCCUACUCAAGAUAUGGAUACAGCUUCAUAUCUUACUUUAGCCUAUUCUUCUUAGGAAACUGAUUAUGAUCUCUAAGCCAAGCCAACAAAGACAGAUACAACUAAUUCACUUAUCGCAGCACAAGCACCAACCUGGACAACACAAUAAUCAGAACCUGACUUGAGAACUGGACCUUUACCUUAUCCCUCUUUUUGACCAUAUUAUAGUAGAUAGUAAACUCCUUCACCUGAGUCUUGGGAUGAAACUAUAACAUAAACGACAAGGAGCUAUAGGAACUCCACGACUAUGGGGCGCUAACUGGAUACUUUAUUCGAGCUGCUUCUGAUCGAGUCGGGAGCUACGCCUCUUAUGAUUCUAUAAAAGGAUGAAAGUAGCCCACUGCUUGCUGCUUCUUCUAUUGUGUCUAGUUUCACACCGUAUUCCUUACUUAGCGCUCCAGAAGGAAUCAGAGGUACCCGGCCCGGCACACACCCCUAUUGAUUGUCGGACAACCACCUAAUUCUUAUAUCUACUCUGGCGCCCAAUCAUUCUUUGAGCAGACCCACGUUCAGUUGAUUAGGGGACGUCAACUCUCAAGUAAGAGAUAAGAAAGUCAGUCUAAGCUUCCAAGGCGAUACCAUGGCUAAGAAUUUGACUAGUGCUGACAAGAACCAAACGGGUAAGUAAUAGAAUCUAACUAACAAGUGAAAGAAAUCAACUGAGAAUAACGAAUCAAACUAGUGCCUAACAGGACUGACUCCUCUUGUCAAGUGAAUCAAACUCAUAAGUCAGAGAAUGCAUCACUGCCACGAUAGACCGAAACAAGAGACCAGUACCUUAACUCACAACGGGUAAUCCAAUUAGACUAUAUC
RNAcentral lists this long non-coding RNA (30802 nucleotides) under Musa acuminata (dwarf banana). RNAcentral's name for it is "long non-coding RNA (MACU_LNC007853)". Lineage: Eukaryota; Viridiplantae; Streptophyta; Magnoliopsida; Zingiberales; Musaceae. The record is from RNAcentral.